CUGGGGACGCAGCUCAGUGGUAGAACAUGUUUCUAGCAGGCACAAGGUCCUGGGUUCAAUUCCCAGCACCAGA
RNAcentral lists this transfer RNA (73 nucleotides) under Marmota monax (woodchuck). RNAcentral describes it as "tRNA.Ala". The record is from RNAcentral. Lineage: Eukaryota; Metazoa; Chordata; Mammalia; Rodentia; Sciuridae.